RNAcentral lists this ribosomal RNA (119 nucleotides) under Pteropus alecto (black flying fox). The record is from RNAcentral. Lineage: Eukaryota; Metazoa; Chordata; Mammalia; Chiroptera; Pteropodidae.
GUCUAUGACCAUGCCACCCUGAACAAGCCCGAUCCCAUCUGAUCUUGGAAGCUAAGCAGGGUAAGGCCUGGUUAGUACUUAGAUGGGAGACCACCUAGGAAGACCAGGUGCUGUAGAUG